RNAcentral lists this ribosomal RNA (301 nucleotides) under uncultured bacterium. Its description in RNAcentral is "partial 16S ribosomal RNA". It matches the Rfam family "Bacterial small subunit ribosomal RNA", at positions 509 to 807 of the family's 1533-position model. The record is from RNAcentral.
CAGCCGCCGCGGGAAUACGUAGGGUGCGAGCGUUAAUCGGAUUUACUGGGCGUAAAGCGUGCGUAGGCGGCUUUUUAAGUCGGAUGUGAAAUCCCUGAGCUUAACUUAGGAAUUGCAUUCGAUACUGGGAAGCUAGAGUAUGGGAGAGGAUGGUAGAAUUCCAGGUGUAGCGGUGAAAUGCGUAGAGAUCUGGAGGAAUACCGAUGGCGAAGGCAGCCAUCUGGCCUAAUACUGACGCUGAGGUACGAAAGCGUGGGGAGCAAACAGGAUUAGAUACCCCGGUAGUCCCUGUCUCUUAUAC